CCAGACUCCUACGGGAGGCAGCAGUGGGGGAUAUUGCACAAUGGGGGGAACCCUGAUGCAGCGACGCCGCGUGGGUGAAGAAGCGCCUCGGCGCGUAAAGCCCUGUCAGCAGGGAAGAAAAUGACGGUACCUGAAGAAGAAGCCCCGGCUAACUACGUGCCAGCAGCCGCGGUAAUACGUAGGGGGCAAGCGUUAUCCGGAUUUACUGGGCGUAAAGGGAGCGUAGGCGGCCUGCCAAGUCUGAUGUGAAAUACCGGGGCUCAACCCCGGGGCUGCAUUGGAAACUGGCAGGCUGGAGUGCCGGAGAGGCAGGCGGAAUUCCUAGUGUAGCGGUGAAAUGCGUAGAUAUUAGGAGGAACACCAGUGGCGAAGGCGGCCUGCUGGACGGUGACUGACGCUGAGGCUCGAAAGCGUGGGGAGCAAACAGGAUUAGAUACCCGAGUA
This 444-nucleotide ribosomal RNA is filed under the name uncultured bacterium. RNAcentral's name for it is "bacterial SSU rRNA". It matches the Rfam family "Bacterial small subunit ribosomal RNA", at positions 331 to 792 of the family's 1533-position model. The record is from RNAcentral.